Non-coding RNA from Parambassis ranga (Indian glassy fish), 270 nucleotides. Lineage: Eukaryota; Metazoa; Chordata; Actinopteri; Ambassidae. The record is from Ensembl.
GGUCGGUGAUGUGAUGUAAAAGGUCUGAUGCUCAGGCUCCGCCCUCAGCCACCAUUUUGGCUCCCAGCAGUCCGUGCUCUCUGCCACCAUCUUGCUCUAGUGGUGCAUUAUGGUCCCAGCAGCUGCUGACAGGCUGGAUUGGACAUCACAGAGUCUGGACUGAGAUCAUCCAGACUCUGUGAUGUGAUGACAUCCGACAGAAUCAAUCGGUAGGAGCGUCAGGCUGAGGGAGCGGGGCACGAGUGGUGAUCUCACUCUUUUACUGAGACC